GCCGACGUAGCUCAGUCGGUAGAGCGCGUCCUUGGUAAGGACGAGGUCACCGGUUCAAUCCCGGUCGUCGGCUCCA
RNAcentral lists this transfer RNA (76 nucleotides) under Candidatus Poribacteria bacterium. RNAcentral describes it as "tRNA-Thr". It matches the Rfam family "tRNA". Rfam says of the family: Transfer RNA (tRNA) molecules are approximately 80 nucleotides in length. The record is from RNAcentral. Lineage: Bacteria; Candidatus Poribacteria.